CGCUAUCACUCCUACGGGAGGCAGCAGUGGGGAAUAUUGCACAAUGGGGGAAACCCUGAUGCAGCCAUGCCGCGUGUGUGAAGAAGGCCUUCGGGUUGUAAAGCACUUUCAGUAGGGAGGAAGGUAGUGUAGUUAACACCUGCAUUAUUUGACGUUACCUACAGAAGAAGCACCGGCUAACGCCGUGCCAGCAGCCGCGGUAAUACGGAGGGUGCGAGCGUUAAUCGGAAUUACUGGGCGUAAAGCGCAUGCAGGCGGCCUGUUAAGUCAGAUGUGAAAGCCCGGGGCUUAACCUCGGAAUUGCAUUUGAAACUGGCAGGCUAGAGUCUUGUAGAGGGGGUAGAAUUUCAGGUGUAGCGGUGAAAUGCGUAGAGAUCUGAAGGAAUACCAGUGGCGAAGGCGGCCCCCUGGACAAAGACUGACGCUCAGAUGCGAAAGCGUGGGGAGCAAACAGGAUUAGAUACCCUGGUAG
This 472-nucleotide ribosomal RNA is filed under the name uncultured bacterium. RNAcentral describes it as "bacterial SSU rRNA". It matches the Rfam family "Bacterial small subunit ribosomal RNA", at positions 328 to 793 of the family's 1533-position model. The record is from RNAcentral.